RNAcentral lists this ribosomal RNA (255 nucleotides) under uncultured bacterium. RNAcentral's name for it is "partial 16S ribosomal RNA". It matches the Rfam family "Bacterial small subunit ribosomal RNA", at positions 524 to 776 of the family's 1533-position model. The record is from RNAcentral.
UACGAAGGGGGCUAGCGUUGCUCGGAAUCACUGGGCGUAAAGGGUGCGUAGGCGGGUCUUUAAGUCAGGGGUGAAAUCCUGGAGCUCAACUCCAGAACUGCCUUUGAUACUGAAGAUCUUGAGUUCGGGAGAGGUGAGUGGAACUGCGAGUGUAGAGGUGAAAUUCGUAGAUAUUCGCAAGAACACCAGUGGCGAAGGCGGCUCACUGGCCCGAUACUGACGCUGAUGCACGAAAAGCGUGGGGGAGCAAACAGG